This 380-nucleotide long non-coding RNA is filed under the name Brachypodium distachyon (stiff brome). Its description in RNAcentral is "long non-coding RNA (BDIS_LNC002204)". The record is from RNAcentral. Lineage: Eukaryota; Viridiplantae; Streptophyta; Magnoliopsida; Poales; Poaceae.
GCUGGCGGGGCCCGCGCGCGUGCGGUCGGGCGCGGUCGGACUGGGCCGGUUCGGCCCAAUGUGGCCGGGCCGGUCUGGUUUACCCCCUUUUUUUUAUCUUUUUGCCUUUUCUUUUUCUGCUUUUCUUAUUUCUUUGAUAUCUUUUGAGUUUGAACUCCAAAUUGGUCCAAAUAAAUCCCAGAAAAUUUGUAAAAUCAUGUCCUAGCAUGAUACAACUUUUGGGAGUAGCUUCCCCUCAAAAUAAAAUAUAUAAAAAUACACUUGCCCUAUAAAUGCCUUUAGGACUAUAUAUCUAUUUGAAUAUAGUACUUUUUCAACUCCAAAUAAUUAACCAAAAAUUAUGAGAUAGCUUAUAUAUGCAAUAAACCCCUUUUAUACUU